This is a long non-coding RNA of Gavialis gangeticus (Gharial), 765 nucleotides long. RefSeq lists it as uncharacterized. NCBI's taxonomy places the organism in Eukaryota, Metazoa, Chordata, Crocodylia, Gavialidae. The record is from RefSeq and is a predicted model, not a curated record. The transcript has 2 exons.
AGGCAGGGGCUGCUAGGAAAUGGAGUCUGGCUGCCGUCUGGAUCCGCCAUCUUGCCCACCUCUGCUCUAGAUCAUAUACAGGCAUACAUACAGUGAUGGGGUGGAUUUGUUAUAAUGUAUUUAAAUUUUAAUAGUAAAUAACCCAGUUGUUAACACCUGUAACACAAUUAUCCAAGUUCUUUUCUGGAGGGGAAUUGCACAAGAAAUGACCUCUGAAGCACACAGCAUCAUAUUCUGGGAAUUAACAGAAAAUUGGGACUACUGUGCUACUGGUUCCACCAAGUUAUUAGUCUAUAGUUAAGAGAGGAGACUUGAUUACAAAAUGUCUAGGACUUGAGCGCCCCAAUGGAAAAGAUGUGGAUAAUAAGUUCUCUUGGGGAAACAAAGAAUCAAAAUGUACACAGCAGGUGAUUAAAAUCUGUUCUGGGGGGAGAGCGCUCCGAGCUAGCAGGUUCAGCUGUUUGUUGUUGGCAACAAAGCCUCAGUAGUGAUCACCUGGCAAAGGAGAUGAGCCUCCCCUUUUGGAUUAAGAAUUCUUCCCCCAACUUCCCUGCUUCCAACAGAUGUAGGAGUAAGGGCCAUACCAGUGGUCUCUAUGUAAUCACUUACGAGCAGAGAUUUUUAAAUUGGAAAGGAAGAGAAACACUUCAGCCAAACAAAAUUAUUGAAAUUAACGGUAGUUUAAAACUGAUGCCCCUGGGUGUAGAAGCGCCAUCCUCCAUUCUGCAGGCAAGCUGCUGAAAAUCUCAUCACCUGCUGUGAGAA